GCAUUAGCUGGUUGGUGAGGUAACGGCUCACCAAGGCGACGAUGCGUAGCCGACCUGAGAGGGUGACCGGCCACACUGGGACUGAGACACGGCCCAGACUCCUACGGGAGGCAGCAGUAGGGAAUUUUCGGCAAUGGGGGGAACCCUGACCGAGCAACGCCGCGUGAAGGAAGAAGGAAUUCGUUCUGUAAACUUCUGUUAUAAAGGAAGAAAGACGGAUGGAGGAAAUGACAUCCGAGUGACGGUACUUUAUGAGAAAGCCACGGCUAACUACGUGCCAGCAGCCGCGGUAAUACGUAGGUGGCAAGCGUUAUCCGGAAUUAUUGGGCGUAAAGAGGGAGCAGGCGGCAGCAAAGGUCUGUGGUGAAAGACUGAAGCUUAACUUCAGUAAGCCAUAGAAACCGGGCAGCUAGAGUGCAGGAGAGGAUCGUGGAAUUCCAUGUGUAGCGGUGAAAUGCGUAGAUAUAUGGAGGAACACCAGUGGCGAAGGCGACGAUCUGGCCUGCAACUGACGCUCAGUCCCGAAAGCGUGGGGAGCAAAUAGGAUUAGAUACCCUAGUAGUCCACGCCGUAAACGAUGAGUACUAAGUGUUGGA
RNAcentral lists this ribosomal RNA (596 nucleotides) under uncultured bacterium. RNAcentral describes it as "bacterial SSU rRNA". It matches the Rfam family "Bacterial small subunit ribosomal RNA", at positions 238 to 827 of the family's 1533-position model. The record is from RNAcentral.